AUGAACGCUGGCGGCGUGCCUAAUACAUGCAAGUCGAGCGAACAGAUGAGGAGCUUGCUCCUCUGACGUUAGCGGCGGACGGGUGAGUAACACGUGGAUAACCUACCUAUAAGACUGGGAUAACUUCGAGAAACCGGAGCUAAUACCGGAUAAUAUAUUGAACCGCAUGGUUCAAUAGUGAAAGACGGUUUUGCUGUCACUUAUAGAUGGAUCCGCGCCGCAUUAGCUAGUUGGUAAGGUAACGGCUUACCAAGGCAACGAUGCGUAGCCGACCUGAGAGGGUGAUCGGCCACACUGGAACUGAGACACGGUCCAGACUCCUACGGGAGGCAGCAGUAGGGAAUCUUCCGCAAUGGGCGAAAGCUUGACGGAGCAACGCCGCGUGAGUGAUGAAGGUCUUCGGAUCGUAAAACUCUGUUAUUAGGGAAGAACAAAUGUGUAAGUAACUAUGCACGUCUUGACGGUACCUAAUCAGAAAGCCACGGCUAACUACGUG
RNAcentral lists this ribosomal RNA (496 nucleotides) under uncultured bacterium. RNAcentral's name for it is "partial 16S ribosomal RNA". It matches the Rfam family "Bacterial small subunit ribosomal RNA", at positions 29 to 507 of the family's 1533-position model. The record is from RNAcentral.